Molecule: long non-coding RNA, 1162 nt
Organism: Pongo pygmaeus (Bornean orangutan)
Lineage: Eukaryota; Metazoa; Chordata; Mammalia; Primates; Hominidae
Exons: 2
Source: RefSeq, a predicted model, not a curated record
GCUUCAGCAGAAGAAACCCUUCUUAUAAAUCUCGCCCAAACAGGAAAGCAAACCUGAAAAUACACUAUCCUCCAGCUAUCAGAAUUAUAUUGAGAUCUACUCACAUUUAUGAUGAUGUUCAGAGAUUCAUCAUUGGGAAGGAAAAUGCACACACUGCGGUGGUCUUGCAUGACUCUGUUGUUGUGGAAAUUCAAUUUGUUCGUUGUGUUUUGGGCUCUCUGGGUGGUCAGGGCUGGGCUCUGGGUCCUUGGCAAUCCCUCAGGUUCCCAGCACUCCAAAGCCAAGCUCACUUCCUCAUCACAUGCCCUGCAGGAGAAGCACCAGGGUGUUCAACUACGUGGGUUUCAUAGCUGUGGAAAAGCCAAAGGGGAGAUUCCUGAAGAAAGGCGGUGAAGACUGUGAAGAGCGGGUCAGGAAGAUGAACACAGGGACAGCAUGUCUCCAGCCAGUGCCACCUUGUUUAAUACAUGGGGAACUCACUGAAAUUCAUUCUGUAUUUUGCCCACAAAGUUUUAAAGCUUUCGUCCACAGUCAGGAAUUAAACUUACACCAAUGAGAGCCUCACACAUCCAAGGAUGUACUAAGCACUACAAGCCUCACAGAAACAGAGAUCCCAUCUUGGAGUUUUCAGUCCCACAUGGGAGAUAAAGUGUUUUGAACAUGAAAUGACAAAAACAAUAGCAAGAAGAAAAUUCUCGUCCUUUUUCAUUACUAUCAAACUCAAAUAAAUGUCUUGGCUCUUACAUUACAUUCAUUCUUCAGCCAUUGUGGUCUGGCUUCCACUUCCUUCAAUUCACCAACGUGGCUUUGCCAAAGGAAGCCCGUGAUCUCUAGGCCAUCACUUUAAUGGAUCUCUCUACGACAUUUAUCCUGGUUGUUAAGCCCUCUUUACAACAUUCUUCUCUGUUUUUAUAGCUCUAUCUCUCCUGCUUCUUUAACCUGAUAAUGCAUACUUGAUUUUUCCAUUUAUUAUUUCAUAAACCAGUUAAAACACAGAUAAAACAAGACUGUGUAUAUCAAACCAUGUUUGUAUAGAAAAAAUGGAUUUUGGAUGCCUCUCAUAUGUAAUUAGUUCUAUGAAACAUAUUAAUUGUAUUUAAUUUAUCAGGUUUUUGACAUAAUUUUGUUUGCAAGUAAUAAAAAUUUUAUCUCCAAUUUUCAA